GACGAACCGUCCUAACGUUGUUCGGAAUCACUGGGCUUAAAGGGCGCGUAGGCGGGUUCCCAAGUCGGUGGUGAAAUCUUUCGGCCCAACCGGAAAACAGCCGCCGAUACUGGGAGUCUUGAGGGAGGUAGGGGUCGAUGGAACUUCCGGUGGAGCGGUGAAAUGCGUAGAUAUCUGGAGGAACACCGGUGGCGAAGGCGGCGUCCUGGACCAACACUGACACUGAGGAGCGAAAGCCAGGGGAGCAAACGGG
Molecule: ribosomal RNA, 253 nt
Filed under: uncultured bacterium
Lineage: Bacteria
Description: partial 16S ribosomal RNA
Rfam family: Bacterial small subunit ribosomal RNA
Source: RNAcentral